UAGCCUGCAGUAGCAAAAUGGGUGAUUCACAAGCACUGGCUGAGAAGCAGCUGUAGCUCUCCCAUCUGCUCACAUGUCUCUGAAACGAUCUCCAGGGAAAAAUGUCUCUGCUCCUAGUCCACCAGCUGUGGGCUGAUUCACUAAGUGGUUACCCAUCUUUUCUUCUGGGAGGAUGACUGAUGCCUUGUGGAGCACCUUGCACUGGUCACAUAGUAGGCCCUCAGGAAAGAGCGGGCAUAUCACUUGGAUUUAGCCAAUCAGUGUUUCCAUCCUUCUCGUCCUCCUGAUUGGCUGAGAGGUGGGCACAUGACUCAAAUUGGUACCAAGAGGGUCAAACCUGGAACGUGUGUGAGGACUGCGGGAAAGAGAAGCCCUUUCCUGGCUGGGGUGAUUAAAGAGGCGAAAUGCAAGCCUAGAGAUGUUGGAGGUCUCUUUGUCUCUAAGAACCGAGAAUCUGCCUGAAGUGAAGCCAUCACAGAGAAUGCAGAGACCAGGGACGGAGAAAGAGUCCUGACAACUUUGUUGGGCCCCUAGAUUCAGGGAGAUUACCCAGGAUUAUCUGGAUGGAUCCAGUGGAAUCACAAGGGACUUUAAAAGUGGAAGGAGGCAGAAAUUAGAAGUUAGACUUGACCCACCGUUGCUGGCUUUGAAAAUGGAGAAAGGAAGCCAUGGGCCAAGGAAUGUGGCAACCUCUAGGAAUGCGACAAACAAGGCAAUGGAUUCUCCUCCAGGGCCUCCAGAAGGAACGCAGCCCUGCGGACGCCUUGACUUUAGCCGGGUGAGACCUAUUUCAGACUUCUAACCUACAGAACUGCAAGGAAGUGACUGGGAAAUGCAGAUCUGUGAAAGGAUCCAGUGAAGCCUGCAGUUGACUAGAUGAUGUUCAUGGCGCAGCUGAGGCUCACGGGAAAAAAGAAAAGUGUGACAGCCAUGUCCUGGAGUAUACUUCUGAGCUGCCUGGUGCCCCUGGCGAUUCCUGUCAUCAUCAAGUAGAUGCGGAUGGGGGUGGGGGACUCUGAGAGGGAGGGGACGGCAGCCGGCAGAGAAGGCUAAACGCUCAGGAAAGUUGGUGGUCCGAGUGGGAAAGCUGCAAAAUCGCGACGCAGUGAAAACCAAACAGCGACGGAGUGAGGAGCCGAGAGCUUGUUAACCGUGACUCUGACCCGACCUGGCGGCUCGUCUCUGCCCCUUCUGAAGACCAAGCGCUCAUUCCUUCUUCAACUCACAUCGCCUGAAACACCAAAGGGCCCUGCACAGCCCAACUCGUUCACUCCUACCAGCCCUUUAGGUACGGAUAUGGAAACUGAGACUCGGACAUCCACAGCUGGCGGCACAGAGGUGGCCUUGGAACCCGUGUCCAUCCGACUGACCCGGCACCCGGCUCUACGGUUCUCACCAUCCUCCUCUUGGAUGCUGGCACUUUCCAACAGGCUUCACUGCUCUGCCGCCUCAGCUCGUAGGCCGUGUCCUUUUGACCUUUUCCAGCCUCUACCAUUCUCCAUGGUGACAGAAAAUACCCUGAGAUAGCAGGGAGAGAGGGAGGCCCAUCUCUGGUCUCGGUUUCCCAAAGGAGAUUAGCUCGUGACCUGGAGCGCGAGGACUGUUGCGAGAAACGCGAUUCCUCAUCUCGUCCACACUCGCCAACCCCGCGCCUCUUAUCAAAACACUGCGGAGGCGGCGAGGUGCCGCCCCUUUGGGACACAGCUGUUCCUCAUCACGAGGUAAAACAAAACCGUGGCUUGGCACAGCCCAGAAACCUCUGCCCGAUCUUCGCCUGCAAGAGAAAUCGUUUGUCCCCAUCCCACUGAGGCUUGAGAGGGAAGCUAAGAGGGAGGAGGGUCCUUGCUCUGCAGCUUGCCCAGAGGACCCAGCUGCCCUUCCAGGGGAAAGGAGGGAGAGGAGGACUGGGGGAGUCCCCCGGGUCCACCGCAUGCCUGGGUUCAGGGUUUGCCCCCUAAGACCUGCCAGAAAGAUUGCCCUCUGUAGAAAAUGACCCUUGUCCCUCUUUCCAUCUGUCUAUCUGAAGCCUUUACUUGGGAAUACGCCUUGGCUGAGAAGAAAAAUGAAGCGUUUGUUUGGGGAAAAUGUUAAAUUAAAUUUUUUUAAAUUAAAAAAUGUAAGCUUAAACCACUAACAUGCACUGAGUGUGUGUGUGGGAGAUUGUUCUAGAAAAAUGGCAUAAAGAGGCAGAAAGAGCUGUGAUCGGAGAAUCAGAAGAUAGGGGCAUGAGUCAUGGCUUUACCACUUCUGUCCACCUCUGAGCCUCAGUCUUUUCUUCUCUGAAAUGGGGGAAAUGAUAAAAGCUGUGUUGGAUUCAGCAAUGCCUGGGCAAACUCCUGCCACGUGCCAGAAAACACGUGGGAACUUUUCACCUGCGUGAACUGAAUGCACGCUCGAAGCUAUCCUGUUUGGGGGAGAUGACAUCCAUGUUGUGGUGUGGGUAUGGAAAGUCCAUUUUAGGGGUUUUCCUGGGGCAGCAGACUGGAUCUCCUGAUGGUACACCUCGGCUGCAUCGUGGUUGCCCCAGGCUUGUGUUAAGUAAGAAGGCAAGGCUGAGGGCCAUUCAUUCAUUCAUUCAUUCAAUAGAUAUUUGUCAAGUGCCUGCACUAUGGCAGGCACUGCUCUAAGCUGGGAAAACGUGGGUGAACAAGACAGAUAAGGUGGCUGCUCUUGUCAAACUCUCUUUCUUCUAGAGGAGAGAGAUUAUAAGCAAAUCGACAAUGAGGUAAAGGUAAGAAUAAGUGCUGUGAAUAAAAUAAGAGGAGCCAUAUGAUGGACUAAGCUCCAGGGCAUGACUUAGAAGGGACGGAGCCUCCUUCAGAGCAAUGUUAUCAAAACACAGACUGGAUCCUACCGACUUUAAGGAACAAAUGUGCUCUGCCACGUGCCCGAGGCCUUGGGUGCCCCGUGCCCCGUGACUCUGGAAGCUCAUCCUUGUAACCACUCCAAGCUGUUUGCUGCCUGUCCUCGGUGUUCCUGUUCCCUGUGAUAGACGUGCAUCUGAUCCUCAAAAGAAUAUCAGAUAAUGAGAAGAAGAGAGGCCAAAGGACAAAGCAAAAUACAUGUUUUUAUGCCAGUUUGAACUCAAUUUAGAAAGAAACAUAAGCCGUCAUCAAAUAGACCAUGAUUUUUCUAAAAUGAAUAGCCCGUGUGUGUGUGUGUGUGUGCAAGUGUGUAAUGGUUCUUUCCAUUUGCAGAAGUUUCUUUGUGGCCAGAACUCAUCAAUGAGUUUUGGGUGUCCCCUCCCCCCUACCUGUCACGUCAUGCUGGUUAUCACUGGGAUAUAGAAAGAAUCACUCAGGAGCUGAGGACCAAGGACAUCAGGAUCUCGGUGGUAAAGCAGGGGACUCAAUUAGACUCUGGCCCCCAGCUGCCCAGCCAGAUUCACCCCCUUCCCAGACCCACCUCAAGGCCACGAGACCUUGUCUGUCAUUGUGCAAGAGCAGAGGAGAAUUCUCAGUUACAUGCCAAACUGGAGUCCCAUCUUUAGCUGGCUUUGGCCUCAUUCGUCAUUUCCCGUUAUCUCUGUGUCCCUGGCACAUACCAGAGACUGCAGGCUGCAUGUUCUCCUGUUCAUUCGGCCAUUCCCAUUGUGAUCGUCCACUGCUGAUCAUGCGGAGUGGGACAGCACAGGACCUGAGAAACACAGCACAGGACCUGAGAAACCACGUGGCUCAGCAGCUUUAUGUAAUUGAUUUAUGUAUUUAAUUAUUUAAUUCCUGAAUGGGUUUUUGGCCACCAAACCCUUUGUUGAAACAAAAUUUCAGGUGGGGUUCUAAAAUGUAAAACAGAAACAAUAGGCUCAGGGACCCAGAGUCUCUCCUUCGGGGCACUCCCUUCUUACGGCAGCCCCUAGUGAGCCCCUUGAAGUGCUCAGAGCUCUCCCCAGCAGCCCAGUUUGGAAAACACCCAUCUCAUUCAAACCCCCUCCUGUUACAGAAGCACUGAGGGAAGUGAAAGAUCCCGUUUGCCUGGCGAGUUGGUAGAAAAUAGGUGAUUAAUUCCGUGCAAAACAAAACAAAACAAAACGCAAAAAACCAGUGGUAGAACGAGUAAAUGGCUACUGUGGGAGGGUCGUGGCAGGACCCGGAGGUCGGCCCAGGAAGCGGAUCACCUGUGUUGGAAGGAAGCGGUGGUCCCGAUUGCCAAGGAGCCCCAUGUGCAUCGCACAUGAACGGCAGGAACUGGUGGAGUGAGAGCUGUGAUGACAGCUCCGUAAUGCAUUUAUCCCAAGGUGCUCUCAUGCACGUUACGGUUUUGAUAUUUUUACUUAACUGGAAGCGGUCAGUCUGCUGCAUUCGAGGCAAGAGAAUGGGUCUGCCAUCAGCCACCCAGCGAGAGUUCUGCUGCCCUCGGAGUGUCGGACAGCAUCCCGAGAUGCUCUGGCUCCAUCUUAGUGUAACAGCCACCUGGAAAGGGUUUGGCGCCGAGUGUCACUGCGAGAGAGACAGACCAGGGGAAAGCGUAGUGGGCUGGAGGCUGUGUGGCAUAGAGGCAACAUGUAGGAGCGAACUAGCUGUGUGCCCGGGUAAGUUUCUUAACCUCUCUGGGCCUUAGUUUCCUCAUUUAUAAAAUGAGGUUGACAACAAUAGGGUCUGUCUUGCAGGGUCAAUGUGAGGGAUCCAUGAGGCGAACCCUAUAAAGUGCUUAGACUAGUGGCCAGCUCAUACUUAGUAAGUCCUAAUAAAUGCUAGUUCUUGUUACCAUUACUGCCUCUGGCCUGGUGACACGUCUUCCCCCAGUUCUCACCAAAGGAGGCCAAAUUGCAUUCGCACUUAACUGCCUUUCUGAAGACCUGAGGAAGACUUCAGAGGAGAAAAUUCUACUGCUUGCUAACAGGCAGGUGCCAGGUGUGCUCUGCUGAUCGCUUUAUCUGCUUUUUGUCACUUAAAUCUCACUCUAGCCCCAAAAGACGGGGACUGGAAGCUCUGUUUCAGAGAUGAGGAAACCAAGGCUUGGGGAAUUUUCAUCCAAAGCCACACAGCCAGCAAACAGGGGAGCCAGGAUGCAAAGCCAGGGAUUUGACACCUGUUUUUGUUUGCUUGUUCUUUUGUUUCCUCUCAGUAGUGUAGAUGCAGGAGACAUGGGCACAGUGAGGGCACAAUGGCUGCUGCUCCACGAUGAGAUGCCAAAACUCGACGCGGGGGCAACAUGGCAGCUUAGACAGGCGUGCAGUUCAGGGGGCCAGCAGCAGCCUUGGCUCCCCACCUCGGGGAGUCCCAGGAACCAGCACCGUGGGGGGAGUCCUGGCGGCCCGAGGAGGAGAGGCACAGCGACGCUGGGUAGGGCUGGGUCUUCUCGCUUCAGCACCGUUUGGCAAAUUCAUCCCUCCUGCAGGUUCUGGGAUGGAGACCCUGCUUCAUUGUGAACCAGCUGUGUGACCUCCCCCAGACCUCUUCCCCUCUCUGCAAUUUGGUUUCCUCCUCUGCACAAUGGGAAUAACAAUUCCUGGCAUAAAGUGUUAUGCCAUACAGUUUUAUUUAAUGAAAUACUGUGGGUAUGCCAUUGUCUUGUAAUGUCUGUGUAUUAUCCAUUAUGUAUGCUGUGCGGUACCAGGAGAACUUCUAUGCCUAACAACCUCACUCAUCAAACCUGAGGAGUUCUUUCAAUUUUGGCUGCACCGACUUUUCACAGGGUCACCAUAGAAAUUCUUAAGAUGAAAAACUCUCGUUUUUGAGUAGAAAUAAUAUGAUUGUGCUGAGUGCUGAUUCACAACCCCCUGGGGACAGAACGAGAAGGGAGCUCAGAAGCCUUAGGCCCAGUACCAAGGGGCACUUGCUCCACUUGUAAGUGGCAGAGUGCAAAUUUGAACCCAGGUCCGUCUGAGGAGCCCCUGACAUUUCCUCCACACCAUGUGAUCCUCUAGGGCUCUAGACACUGACGGAAACAGCAGAGGGGAUCGAUGGCUUGGUAUUUAUCCAUCUUGUCUGUUCUUGUGUGUUCGCUCAGCUCUGAGCUGGUCACAUGCAGCCUCUCAGAAGGUAUCUGUUAAAUUGUGCUGUAGAAAGAAAUGCCCAGCAUUGUUCCUGGUUCUCCCCUGCCCAUGCCCACCAGAGCGGAUCCUGGGCCUCCCCAAGGACGCAGUUGUCUGGGUCCUUCUGCCCACCUGAGCUAUACACCACGGUGAUAGUUCCCCGGGAAUCCGCACACUUAGAGCAGCCAAGUCUUUGUAAGUAUAAGAAAGCAUGUCUCCCCAGUUCCGCCCCUGCAGACAGGCUCAUUUUCCAGGUCUCCCUGCCAGCAGGCCGACUCUAUGGUUGAUUAGGGUAAUGAGGCUUAUGCAGGCUUCCUCUGUCCCUCCCCAUCUCCUUGGCUCUGAGCGUUAGCCCACUGUCUAUCAAUACUGUCUGGCACCAGAAGAAAGCCCCUCUCCCUUCCUGCACCCAGCAUCUGGUUGCCUGGAAACCAGGACAGAAGCCUAGAGCAUCUUGGGUUUCUUUUUAAUUUCCCUGCCAGGUCCCGAAAGCAAGCAGUAUUUGUUUUAAGCAGAACCUUUGCACUGUGGAGACUUGCCUUAACCUUGCCCAGAAUGACGUCAUCAACCUGCGUAAAUGUGAUGCAGAGAGAGAGGGACAGCCAUUCCGGGCUCAGUGUCAUUUGGUUAUCGGUACACAGAGUCAUAAUUAAUAGUGAAAGCUGAAGAUGGAUUGUUUCAGAGGGAGCCAGGACUAGGGUCAACUCGUGUGUGUGUGAGUGUGUGCGCAUGUGCCCAUACACAUGUGUUCAAAUUGGCAGCUUUGUGAAUUGCAGCUUGCAGUAGCCACGUGCAAAAGGGAAGAGAAAUCUUUCUUUCUCCAAAAGAACAAAAGACCAUCUUGAAAGUGAAUGUCCUUCAAAAGCCACACAAUUUGGGGUAGAGGCUCCAAGACCCUCUUUGGCUCACCCCCAAGGUGUGUCUCAGUAGGAAUGUGAAUCAUCUUCAGAUAGGGCCAUAGGAGAGGUGAGGAUUUGAAAAGUCACAAAUGGGAAAAGAACUCCCCCGUCCCCCACCCCCAAAUCCUUUGGCUUAACACUCAGAGGGCCUGCCAGAGUUUAGGACUAAACCUGGCCCCUGCUGCCUGGAGUAUGUCCUGGCUCAAGCACCUGGACGCUGUAUGUUCCCAAGGCUGAGAGGCAUUGCAUCUGUAGUGGGUGGGACUGGAUUUUCUCUCUUGUCAAAGCUGCCCCGUGUUCCCAAAAUAUGAAAUCUUUUGAAGAACCAUCAAAUCAGGCCCCACUGAGAAAGCAAUUUCCUGGGGAUUAUGAGCCAAGCGUCUUGCCCCUCCCCCACCUUGUCACCCUAAGUGUUCUCCCAUUUUAUAGAUGAGACUGGAGAGGCCGGGAGCAGCCAAGGAUCUUGCCUGAGGUUACACAACUAGUGGGCAGUGGAGCCAAAAUUUGAAUUACACAGCUUACUCAGAAAUCAUUAUAAGAAACACUAUCUGACUUCCUGCAUCUGAAGAUCUUUCUAGGAGAUACUGGCUCUUAGAGCCAACAGUCUCUUGGAAAAUUCUUAUCACUCAGUGAAUAAAUUGAAAUGGAGCUAAUAAUAGAGAGGUAUGUAGCAUGUCUGAAAAGAUCUAUUUGCUAUGUCUUCUUGGUAGAGUUUUUUAAGAAGCGCUUUGACGUGCUUUUUACCAAGAGGUUGAAGUGUGGAAUAUUUUCACGGUGGAACUAAAUCCAUGUUUCCUCCUUCCCUUCCUUUCCUGGACUUCCUUUGUCUCUGAGCUUUGGGGAGUGCUGUGUGUUCAGUGGUAUUUUCUUCAACACUGGUUUUCCUCCUUGCUGGAAGGAUAUUUUAGAGACAAAACAAUUUGAAGACGAGGACACAGAUGUUUUCCUCUCAUAAAUGGAGGCAGAGCAUUUAAGCAGCCAGUCACCAAUAUUCAGCCUUAGGAGCCAGAUGCCCUGGUUUCAAAUCCUGGCUGGCCCCGCCAGGUUCUUGCCUGUAUGACUAGGAGCAUCUUGAUAACUCAUCCCAGCCUCCGUUUCUAAUCCAUGAGAUGGGGAUGAUAAUGGUUCUGAGUUACCUUAAAGAACAGAAGAAUUAAUGUGUAAAGCUACGAGCACAGUGCCUGACCAAUAUGGACUCAGUAAGGGGAGCCACUAUUAUUAUUUUAUUAUCAACUUGGAGAUUCUAGAGUUGACUAAGGCUGUGGGAGAAAUCAGGACUGGAAUCAGAAAUUCCUGAACCCAAGAGAGGUGCUCAGAAGAGGCUUUCCCGGUACAAAGAAGGUUCCGGCACUGAUCCUUGUCCCCAGGCGCCUGUAUUCUUUAACAUUUUAAAAUCUUUGAAAUAGUACUGGCCUACAGGGAAGGCUCUUCAUACCCACUGUAUAGCUAAGGUGAUGCCUAUUGCCUGCUUGAAGGCACAGCACUCUAGAUUUCAGUGAAAGAAUUUGAAAUGAUGACUUUAAAGAAAAAAGAAAUAGAAAUUCCACCCCAGGCCUCUCCAAGAGGAAUGUCCCUUCUGCUAUUUCGUGCUCAUCCAAAGGCCACAAGAAAAGAAGUGACUGUGUUAAGAACAGGAAUGCUGUAAUUGCUGAGGGAGGAAUUCUUCUAAUUUCUGUGUACAAAACAAACUUGGAACAUCUGUAACCACUUUUCAUCUUUGUAGCCUUUAUUGUUCCCUGUGCAAACAUUAACUGGGCCCCAGCGUGUAUAAGGCAGGGUGUUAAGCAUUAAGGGAUACAACACACGUAAGAAACAGACCCUCCUUUUCAAGGAUUGGUUCCUGGGCCUGACCGCCUUCGUGCACAUCCCUGAGGAUUUGGCUAAGCCUCAUCACCUGGACCAGCUCUCCUCAAUCCCGUGGCCUCACACAGCAGGGACGGGAUGGAAUUAUGCCUCUGUGCUUUGGGCUGGAACAGGAUUCCAGGGCUGUGAAAAGCUUCAGCUACUCUCCUCCUCACCUCUCUCCUCCAGGACCCCCAGUCACCUUGUGAGCCCCCACUGUACCUAUUACACAUCGUCCCUGGUCCAUUGCUGUGCUCAGUAGAAAGAUAACUCUUCUUGCCUCUUUCCUUUCAAAUUCUCUCUUAUCUUCCUCACCCCAACCUGCCCCAAAGAAACCCAGCUCAGCAGUUUGCUAAGAGGGUAGCUUAAUGUGUUUCCCUUUACAGGAGACC
Long non-coding RNA from Equus caballus (horse), 9107 nucleotides. Lineage: Eukaryota; Metazoa; Chordata; Mammalia; Perissodactyla; Equidae. The record is from Ensembl.